GAUGAACGCUGGCGGCGUGCCUAAUACAUGCAAGUCGAGCGAACAGAUAAGGAGCUUGCUCCUUUGAAGUUAGCGGCGGACGGGUGAGUAACACGUGGGUAACCUACCUAUAAGACUGGGAUAACUUCGGGAAACCGGAGCUAAUACCGGAUAACAUUUAGAACCGCAUGGUUCUAAAGUGAAAGAUGGUUUUGCUAUCACUUAUAGAUGGACCCGCGCCGUAUUAGCUAGUUGGUAAGGUAACGGCUUACCAAGGCGACGAUACGUAGCCGACCUGAGAGGGUGAUCGGCCACACUGGAACUGAGACACGGUCCAGACUCCUACGGGAGGCAGCAGUAGGGAAUCUUCCGCAAUGGGCGAAAGCCUGACGGAGCAACGCCGCGUGAGUGAUGAAGGGUUUCGGCUCGUAAAACUCUGUUAUUAGGGAAGAACAAAUGUGUAAGUAACUGUGCACAUCUUGACGGUACCUAAUCAGAAAGCCACGGCUAACUACGUGCCAGCAGCCGCGGUAAUACGUAGGUGACAAGCGUUAUCCGGAAUUAUUGGGCGUAAGCGCGCGUAGGCGGUUUCUUAAGUCUGAUGUGAAAGCCCACGGCUCAACCGUGGAGGGUCAUUGGAAACUGGGAAACUUGAGUGCAGAAGAGGAAAGUGGAAUUCCAUGUGUAGCGGUGAAAUGCGCAGAGAUAUGGAGGAACACCAGUGGCGAAGGCGACUUUCUGGUCUGUAACUGACGCUGAUGUGCGAAAGCGUGGGGAUCAAACAGGAUUAGAUACCCUGGUAGUCCACGCCGUAAACGAUGAGUGCUAAGUGUUAGGGGGUUUCCGCCCCUUAGUGCUGCAGCUAACGCAUUAAGCACUCCGCCUGGGGAGUACGACCGCAAGGUUGAAACUCAAAGGAAUUGACGGGGACCCGCACAAGCGGUGGAGCAUGUGGUUUAAUUCGAAGCAACGCGAAGAACCUUACCAAAUCUUGACAUCCUUUGAAAACUCUAGAGAUAGAGCCUUCCCCUUCGGGGGACAAAGUGACAGGUGGUGCAUGGUUGUCGUCAGCUCGUGUCGUGAGGUGUUGGGUUAAGUCCCGCAACGAGCGCAACCCUUAAGCUUAGUUGCCAUCAUUAAGUUGGGCACUCUAGGUUGACUGCCGGUGACAAACCGGAGGAAGGUGGGGAUGACGUCAAAUCAUCAUGCCCCUUAUGAUUUGGGCUACACACGUGCUACAAUGGACAAUACAAAGGGCAGCCAAACCGCGAGGUCAUGCAAAUCCCAUAAAGUUGUUCUCAGUUCGGAUUGUAGUCUGCAACUCGACUACAUGAAGCUGGAAUCGCUAGUAAUCGUAGAUCAGCAUGCUACGGUGAAUACGUUCCCGGGUCU
This 1371-nucleotide ribosomal RNA is filed under the name uncultured bacterium. RNAcentral's name for it is "bacterial SSU rRNA". It matches the Rfam family "Bacterial small subunit ribosomal RNA", at positions 28 to 1381 of the family's 1533-position model. The record is from RNAcentral.